Molecule: long non-coding RNA, 1380 nt
Organism: Triticum aestivum (bread wheat)
Lineage: Eukaryota; Viridiplantae; Streptophyta; Magnoliopsida; Poales; Poaceae
Exons: 4
Source: RefSeq, a predicted model, not a curated record
UGUUGCAGGCACUCCUGACGUGCAUGCGCUCCCCUGCGAUUAGUGACCAACACAUCUGCUCUGUCGUGAGCAUGUGCUUCGUGUCAUACAGGUCGCGGCCAAAGGCGAGCUCGUGCAGCGGUUCAGUUUUGUCUCAUUGCCAAUAUAUCUGCAUAAGGUACAUCUAAGGAGGCCUUCUCCGACAAGGAGGCUGCGGGUCGAGGUCGUCGGCAGCGACGAUGCCGCCAGCCGCAAGCGCCGCCGCGAGGACGACAAAAGAGAAGUUUAGAUCUUUUUGGACAGUUAUUGCAGCCAACAGCCAACAUUCUAAAUGAGUAUAAAACAAUGCUAUGAGGUAAUAUAUCCCUCUGUGAUAAUAGUUUAACAUAUGGGCUACUCGUGGUUGCAUGCUAAAUUAUUGCUGGUAUCAACUUUAUUAUUAGUUUAGUGAUUAUUACAAGCAUCUCAAUUUUUCAGUCAAAGGCAUCUAAAAUGUUUCUUGAUUCACGCAUGUAUAUUUCAAAGAGGAAUGCAGCCUUGAGUAAAUGAAUAUUGCAAAGCUUAAUACCAGUCCCAAAAACUUGCUCUGGCCAGAGAAAGAGGCCAAUAUCCGGCGUGGUCUGUUCAAUCUACUACAUGUAAUUUGGUGUUCUAUUGUGCGCACCAUCAGUUUUUGUUGUUGUAUAAGUUCUACUUCAAAUAUGUGUAGCUAGACCCCGUCGAAGUGAUCUUUUUGUUUCUCGUCUCAUGUAACUGAAGAAAAUGAGAGAAGGUAUUGGACACUGGUCAUGUAUGUAGUCGGCAGAGCUGUUUUAUGCAAUGCCUAUUGUCACAAUAGCAUAUAUGUCUAUACGGGGAGGAGACCAAGAGAGUACAUCAGAAGCCAUUGAUUUGCCAUGGAAUAUUAAAAACUUUCAGAUUACCUGUUCAUAUGAUGGUAUCCACAAGAAACUUCCUAUCCUGUAUGUUUUAGCAUGCUCCACACAAAUAUAUUAAUUAAUUUGUGUAGGUAUGCUUCUCCUUCUUUCAGUUCCUGAAUAAUUAUACCACCAUCUGUGUGGAGUAUCUUGUAGUGCUCCACACAAAUAGAUAAAUUAUUUUUUAUGAGUAUGCUUCUCCUUUUAUCAGCUCCUGAAGAAUUAUACUGAUGUCGUGUGCUUUAUUUGCAAGAUUUAUAUGACUUAAACAAGAACUUGUUAAAUAAUAUGAGUGCAUAUAAGUAGAUUGAUCUUGCCUCUUAUGUAGUCUGGUAGAUUUGGAAAGAAAGGAAUUGCAGAUUUUGUCUGGACAAAGAGAUGAAGCCAGAAAGGGAUAAUACGAUUGACCCAACUGUUACCGGUGCAAUGCUUUUGGGGUCGACCAAAACAUUUAAAAAUGUUAAAUGUGGUUGUGCAAUAAAAU